UACGGAGGGUGCAAGCGUUAAUCGGAAUUACUGGGCGUAAAGCGCACGCAGGUGGCUGAGUCAGUCGAUUGUGAAAGCCCUGGGCUUAACCUGGGAAUUGCAGUCGAUACUACUCAGCUAGAGUUCGGGAGAGGAUGGUGGAAUUCCCAGUGUAGAGGUGAAAUUCGUAGAUAUUGGGAAGAACACCGAUGGCGAAGGCAGCCAUCUGGACCGACACUGACGCUGAGGCGCGAAAGCGUGGGGAGCAAACAGG
RNAcentral lists this ribosomal RNA (253 nucleotides) under uncultured bacterium. Its description in RNAcentral is "partial 16S ribosomal RNA". It matches the Rfam family "Bacterial small subunit ribosomal RNA", at positions 524 to 776 of the family's 1533-position model. The record is from RNAcentral.